This 200-nucleotide ribosomal RNA is filed under the name uncultured bacterium. RNAcentral's name for it is "partial 16S ribosomal RNA". It matches the Rfam family "Bacterial small subunit ribosomal RNA", at positions 29 to 256 of the family's 1533-position model. The record is from RNAcentral.
AGCGAACGCUGGCGGCAGGCCUAACACAUGCAAGUCGAACGGAUCCUUCGGGAUUAGUGGCGGACGGGUGAGUAACACGUGGGAACGUGCCUUUUGGUUCGGAACAACUCAGGGAAACUUGAGCUAAUACCGGAUGUGCCCUUCGGGGAAGAUUAUCGCCACUUAGAGCCGGCCCGCGUCUUGAUAAGCUUGUUGGUGAG